GGCGGCGCGCUUAACACAUGCAAGUCGAGCGAGAUCCGGUCCUUCGGGACCGGGGAAAGCGGCGAACGGGUGAGUAACACGUGGGUAAUCAACCCUCGGUACCGGGAUAGCCCGAGGAAACUCGGAUUAAUACCGGAUGGCCCAACAGCUUUUCGGGGCGGUUGGGAAAGGUAGCUUCGGCCUCCGACCGAGGACGAGCCCGCGGCGGAUUAGCUUGUUGGUGGGGUAAUGGCCUACCAAGGCGACGAUCCGUAGCUGGUCUGAGAGGACGAUCAGCCACACUGGGACUGAGACACGGCCCAGACUCCUACGGGAGGCAGCAGUGGGGAAUCUUGCACAAUGGGCGAAAGCCUGAUGCAGCGACGCCGCGUGAGGGAAGAAGGCUUUCGGGUUGUAAACCUCUUUCAGGAGGGACGAAGCUACUCGGGUUAAUAGCCCAGAGGGUGACGGUACCUCCAGAAGAAGCCCCGGCUAACUACGUGCCAGCAGCCGCGGUAAUACGU
Molecule: ribosomal RNA, 503 nt
Filed under: uncultured Actinomycetes bacterium
Lineage: Bacteria; Bacillati; Actinomycetota; Actinomycetes
Description: bacterial SSU rRNA
Rfam family: Bacterial small subunit ribosomal RNA
Source: RNAcentral